CCUACGGGAGGCAGCAGUCGAGAAUCAUUCACAAUGGGGGAAACCCUGAUGGUGCGACGCCGCGUGGGGGAAUGAAGGUCUUCGGAUUGUAACCCCCUGUCAUGUGGGAGCAAAUUAAAAAGAUAGUACCACAAGAGGAAGAGACGGCUAACUCUGUGCCAGCAGCCGCGGUACUACAGAGGGCUCAAGUGUUGUUCGGAAUCACGGGGCGUAAAGCGUGCGUAGGCUGUUUCGUAAGUCGUGUGUGAAAGGCGCGGGCUCAACCCGCGGACGGCACAUGAUACUGGGAGACUAGAGUAAUGGAGGGGGUACCGGAAUUCUCGGUGUAGCAGUGAAAUGCGUAGAUAUCGAGAGGAACACUCGUGGCGAAGGCGGGUUCCUGGACAUUAACUGACGCUGAGGCACGAAGGCCAGGGGAGCGAAAGGGAUUAGAUACCCCGGUAGUC
This 446-nucleotide ribosomal RNA is filed under the name uncultured bacterium. RNAcentral describes it as "partial 16S ribosomal RNA". It matches the Rfam family "Bacterial small subunit ribosomal RNA", at positions 338 to 795 of the family's 1533-position model. The record is from RNAcentral.